This 1245-nucleotide long non-coding RNA is filed under the name Sus scrofa (pig). RNAcentral describes it as "lncRNA (ENSSSCG00060051682.1)". The record is from RNAcentral. Lineage: Eukaryota; Metazoa; Chordata; Mammalia; Artiodactyla; Suidae.
CUAUUUUGUAAACUACCCCUGUGUAGUUGGAGAAGAUUUAUUCUGCAAUUGUUGGAUAUAGUGUUUUAUAAAUAUUAAUGAUGUCAAGUUGGAUAAAAAUGUUGUUCAAACAGUCUUCUGUUUACUCAUUUUUUCCUGCUUGUUCUAUCAAUUACUGAGAGAGAUUUACCAGUCUCCUACUAGGAUUACAGAUUUUUCUAUUCAUCCUUUUAGUUCUGCCAACUUCUGCUUCAUCUAUUAUGAGGUUUUGUUUUUAGGUGUACACAUAUUUAGGACCGUUUUCCUAAUGAGAUCACUAUUUGAUUAUUAUGAGUGUCUUUAUUUUUGGUAAUAUUCAUUGACUAGGGGGUGUUUUUUCCAUAACAGUAAUAUUUUACUUUUCUAAUUGCAAUAGUAAUACUGUAUUUCUCAUCAUUGGUAUUUGCACAAGUAUUUUUCCAUCCUUUUACUUUAAACCUAUCUGAUCUUAUUUUUAAAGUACAUCCUUGCAAACAGCAUACGGUUGAGUCUUAUUUUCUUGAUCCAGGCUGAGACUGUAAGAAAUUCAUUUAAUAUCUGGUAUAUUCAAUUUUAAAAUAAACUUUUGGAAUAACUUUAGAUUUACAGAAAAGUUGCAAAAAUACAACAGGAGAAUCCUAAAUACUUCUUACUAGUUUUCUCUAUGUUAAUACUUUAUAUAAGCGUAGUACAUUUAUCAAAACUAAAAAAACAUUGUCACUUUACCAUUACAUAAAAUCCAGACAUUAUUUGGAUGUCACCAGUUUUUCCAUUAAUGUCAUUUUUCUGUUCCAAGAUCCAAUCCAGGAUUCCACGUGGCAUUUUUUAUUCCAUCUAUUAUUUCACCAUUUACUUUUAAUGCAAUUUUGUGUUUGCAAUUUUGCUUUUCUUCUUAAAGAUCACCCCUCCCAAAUUGUACAAACUUCUCGUUAGAUCUACCCUACUUUUGAUAGAUGUCUAAUUUUGUUUCUACCAUAAUAAUUUUUAAUGCCCUCCCUCCACCCAAACACAGAGAAAAAGACAGACAGAAUUGUGUGUGUGUGGUUUCUUUUGUUUUCUAAUUCUUGUUACAUAAACUAUUGUUAUUUUCUUUCAUCUUUCUCCAGUGAUCUUUAGAGCAUAUAUAUUAUUUUAGAUUCCACUACUGGUUAUCAUUUACUUUUAAAAAAAUUUUAUAUUUGAAUCUAUAUUUUUUAAAUUAGCUAAGACCCAAAUAAACAGUUUAUUUGGACUACCCUUACGUAUGAU